This is a long non-coding RNA of Arachis duranensis, 965 nucleotides long. RefSeq lists it as uncharacterized. NCBI's taxonomy places the organism in Eukaryota, Viridiplantae, Streptophyta, Magnoliopsida, Fabales, Fabaceae. The transcript has 5 exons. The record is from RefSeq and is a predicted model, not a curated record.
GUCUAAAUGGUUCUGUCCUCUGAUAUAAGGCCAGAUUUUACCGAGGUCUUUAGUCCUGUAAUUAAACCACCUAUAAUUCAUCUUAUUCUAACCAUAGUCUUAUCAUCUAAAUGGCCAAUAGUACAAUAUGACUGCAUCUAAAUGUGUUUACUACUAUAUUUUAAUUUCAAAUUAAAGUGCUAAUGACUUAAAACUAUUUUUUUAGUUUCCUAACUUGUCAAUUCUUUAUGAAAUUAUCAGUUGGUUACCUUUCCCUCCUGGUUCUCAGAAGAUUACAGAGAUCAUCAAGAAACGAUAUGAUAAACCGUACAAAAAGUUUGGAGAUGUCCCUCUUCCGACAAAGAAGCUUUGGUUUAAGGAAUGGAAGAGCCACUUUCUUAUUGAUGAUGAUGAUGAUGAGUUUUUCUGGAGGGCUUUCAAGUAUAGGACAAGUAAGCGAUUUAGCCAAAUGAUGUCAGAUAUCCGUGAGGGUGUGGAUACAACCCACGAAUGGCUAAUUCCUGCUUACAAAAAGGUGUUAGAAAGGUAUUGGAAAACAGAUGAGAAAUGGAAAAAUAUAAGGAAAAAAGCAAGAGAGAAUCGAGUGUCACUCUUAGGUGGUUCUGUCCAUUGCGGUGGUUCUAUUCCAUUGAGCUCAACUAUAGAGAGGAUGAAGAAGUAGUUGGGUUGUACACCAACCCACGAGGAGGUCUUCAAAGAAACCCACACACUUAAAAGUGACAAGUCUAAAUGGGUGGACAAGCGCUCUCAAGACACUCAUGAGAAGUUUAUAAAAAAGUUAGCAGAAGUUCAGGCCCAACAUGUCGAGGCUCAAGCACAAGGAAUGGAGCUACAACCAAUUGAUGAAGAUUUGAUUUGGGAGGAAGUGUGUGGUGGGCAAAAGAAGAAUCGAGUUUACGAAAAAGGGUCAUUCUUUUCUAACUCUAUCAAGUCUGGAACCACUUCUGCCAAUUCUGUAUCUGGAA